AUUGAAAAUGAUGAAAAGAGGUUUUUGGCAGCAGCUUUUAGUUGACUGAACUGCUGUAUGACUAUUUUGUGCUUGGAGAUCUUCACAAUUUGUACUCGAAACUUUUAUUUCAUUAAAGAAUUGUUCUUCAAGCUUACAGAGCUUCAUUCAAAUCGAAACCAGUCCGUUCACAAUCUACCCUUGUUGCUUCAUCAAAGCAACCCAAAACGAGGAGCACAAAUCAGACUCGACUAGUAGACAUCGUAAAAGCAUCUCUUCUUGGCGGAGCGUAAGUGGAUUUCACCCUCGUCUCAGGCGAUUAUAAUCACCACAGCCGAUCGAUGAUCGGCACGUUUCGUCGUGGCACGUGACUCCCCUUGCCGUCCUCGUGACCGUUUCACGAUUCGUUGUCCACCGCUCGUUAGGCUAGUCUCGCGAUUUACGAUUUUACCGUGCGAAAUACGCGCGAAUAAUCAAGAGAAAAAGAAGCAGAGAGGAAAGAUUUCGCGCGGCGGGGCACGUAGCGCAUGGCACAAGGAGCGGAAUCGCCUGUAAUGACUAUGAAGCAUCCCUGCGAGGUCGAUCCGCGGCCGAGCAUUAUGCUUUCGUAAAAUAUCACGAUCAGUCGCGCCACGAAUGGAAGUCGACGAUGAUCAUGCUUCCUUUACAUCGCGCGUACAUAAAGUGCGAGACACGCAUUGCGUGUGACCCGCGUCGCGCAAUCAACGUCGCGUUAACGCACGGUAUUCAACCUUGUCGCGGAAAAAUAACGUUGAUCGAGGUCGACGUCGGCUGUCUCGAUCAUGAUAGUAUAGUUGCUGCAGGAGAUGUGAUGACGUAGUGAAAUUUGUCAAGUAACUUAAAAUACUUUGGAGAACAUAAGGUAUUAAAUCCUCAUUCACAAUCAUGCGAUGUCAACUAGAAACUAUAUUCUGUCACCGUUUCUUUAAAAAAUGUGAAAAUUAAUUUUUAUAAGUAUAAAUUAAUUUUUUCUAACACAGCCGUUAUUAAACAAAAAGUUACGAAGAUUUAAUAUCAUAGAAUUUCAAUGAAACAUUUGCAGCCUCAUAUUUAAAGGACUUCUGACGUUGUACAAUGUUAGUAUCGUGAUAGAGAAAAGUCAGAGAGAAAUACUAUACAUCGCAUAAAAUGUAAACUAAAACAUGCAUAAUCGAAGUGCAGCUUCAUCACAAAUACGAUAAGUAUUGCAUUUUAAUAUAACUUGUAUCACAUCGAUAUCACUGAUUUACAUCAACAAGAAAUUAAUACAGUUAACUGUAGAAUGAAAAUACGUUUGUCAUGAAGUAGCAAUUGCUACGUUAUGCAAAUCGUUGCGACAGACAUGUUUCUAGAACUGCGUUUGUUUUAUUCAACAGAGCACAUUCGUUCAAAGUUUUCCUAUUUUUCCGAGAUCUUAACAAGUCGAUUACAACACGCUCUCGUUACAUUUACUUCGUUGUAUCUAUUCAACUGAACGGCACACGUUAACAUGCAUUAACCAUAAGCGCGUCCUACAUUUUUAGAAGUACGAUCGGAUGAUCUCGAGUGUCAAGCGUCCUCGCAAUAACUGAAACAAUAAUUAACUCUGUCGCGUUUCGUUAUGUGCGACGCAACGAGUGGGCAGCGAAACUUUCAAACCUCGAAAGCUUAUCUGACACUCCGAAUCAGUGAACAGUAGACCUACGAAACAAGCGAGUGCCAUCAUUAGAAUUCGUGUCGUUUCCUUUACACGGCCUGAAGGACUGAUUCGAAGUUCCAUGCUCGAAUAAUUUUGUAACCACUUUUACAACAAUCCGCGAGUACCCAUAACAAUUCUUUAUUUCAUGUUGAUUACGGAUUCGCAAUACGAGAAAAUGUUUCGCUUUCGUAUUCCUACUGGAUUUAUAUUAAAUGUAAUUAAUAAAGUUGUUCUUAAGUAAAAUCUUAACACGGUCGUUGCUGGUGAUUUUAUAGAAAUCCUAAAAUAGAAAAGUACAUUAUGAUUAAAGCAAAGAUAGGACUUUGAAGAGUUGUCUUUUAAAUAUCAUAUUUUAUGUCACUUUGUGUUGUUUAUUAUAAUUCAAAUAAAUGCAAAAAAUUCUUAUUGAGGUUUCUGAGAUAAAAAAUAGUAAAACAUACCUCACUAUCAUUAUCAUUUUGCAAUAAAGUAACUUUUAUUAUGUUAUCUAGGUAUUUCAGAUGGAGUUAUUAAUGAAGAUUUACUGAUUCCUUGAAUGGAACAUUCUACGAAACGUUUAAUUCAUCAUUCCGUAUUUUGUGCUUAUAGAGCUCUGAAAUAUAGGAAUACGCAGUUCGAAGGAAGCCAUAAAAAAGCAUAGGGUUAUUUUCUCGUCGCUUUAUCGGCUGAAGAAGAAUGUUCCAUUCAUACUUUUACACACCAUUUAUGGACGCCUUAUGUACGCGAUAUCAGCCUUAUCAGCACUUCUACGCCACCUACAAUUUAAUGCUGCUGUAUGCGCAUGUAGAGCUAUCGGAAAAGGAAAGACGGCGUUGCAAGAAAUGCUACCUGCGCAGCAAACAAUCGUGGAACUCCUUGUCGACGAGUAUUCAAUGCCAAUCCCAGGGAUUCAAAUAUCGUUCUAAUUCUUUGUCCUUUAUUACACGACAACUUCGAUAUUUAUGACGACAAUGUAAAACAGCCGAAUAUUAUAUUCACCUAUUAUAAGAAA
Long non-coding RNA from Bombus pyrosoma, 2648 nucleotides. RefSeq lists it as uncharacterized. NCBI's taxonomy places the organism in Eukaryota, Metazoa, Arthropoda, Insecta, Hymenoptera, Apidae. The record is from RefSeq and is a predicted model, not a curated record. The transcript has 2 exons.